Molecule: signal recognition particle RNA, 300 nt
Filed under: Callithrix jacchus (white-tufted-ear marmoset)
Lineage: Eukaryota; Metazoa; Chordata; Mammalia; Primates; Cebidae
Description: Metazoan signal recognition particle RNA (ENSCJAG00000084978.1)
Rfam family: Metazoan signal recognition particle RNA
About the family: The signal recognition particle (SRP) is a universally conserved ribonucleoprotein. It is involved in the co-translational targeting of proteins to membranes.
Source: Rfam by way of RNAcentral
GCCAGGCACGGUGGCUUGUGCCUGUAGUCCCAGCUACUCGGGAGGCUGAGGGUGGAGGAUCGCAUGAGUCCAGGAAUUCUGGGCUGUAGUGCACUAUGCCAAUCGGGCGUCCGCACUAAGUUUGGCAUCAAUAUGGUGACCUCCCAGGAGUGGGGGACCACCAGGUUGCUUAAGGAGAGGUGAACCGGCCCAGGUCGGAAACGGAGCAGGUCAAAACUCCCGUGCUGAUCAGUAGUGGGAUCGCGCCUGUGAAUAGCCAUUGCACUCCAGCCUGGGCAACAUAGCAAGACCCCGUCUCUG